UACGGAGGGUGCAAGCGUUAAUCGGAAUUACUGUGCUUCCCUCUCCCGCAGGCGGUCUGUCAAGUCGGAUGUGAAAUCCCCGGGCUCAACCUGGGAACUGCAUUCGAAACUGGCAGGCUAGAGUCUUGUAGAGGGGGGUAGAAUUCCAGGUGUAGCGGUGAAAUGCGUAGAGAUCUGGAGGAAUACCGGUGGCGAAGGCGGCCCCCUGGACAAAGACUGACGCUCAGGUGCGAAAGCGUGGGGAGCAAACAGGAUUAGAUACCCUGGUAGUCCACGCCGUAAACGAUGUCGAUUUGGAGGUUGUGCCCUUGAGGCGUGGCUUCCGGAGCUAACGCGUUAAAUCGACCGCCUGGGGAGUACGGCCGCAAGGUUAAA
This 375-nucleotide ribosomal RNA is filed under the name uncultured bacterium. Its description in RNAcentral is "bacterial SSU rRNA". It matches the Rfam family "Bacterial small subunit ribosomal RNA", at positions 524 to 898 of the family's 1533-position model. The record is from RNAcentral.